CAAAGCUAUGCCAGCAGUGUAAAAAGGAGUGGAAAUCAGCUUCACUAGGGACAACAACUAAUCUGGGAAAGCUAACACAAAGCAUUUAGUGCUAUUAAGUAUAUACAGAGGUCCCCAGCGUGAUAGACAUAAGGAGACUUGACUAACCAAAAAACUCUAAAAUGAUAAUUUGGUUUUUUUUUUUUUUGGACAAAAAUGAUAAUUUGGUUUGAAAAGCCUAAUAGAAAAUGAUUUGGGCCAUACCAUGUGCUGCAAGGUUAGGCCAUACUGAUUAUGGAGUCAAGUUCCGGAUUUGGGCUUUUCUACCCUCUCUCGCGCCGAGACCCCUCAACUUGGCUUAAUUUUUGUCCAGUGAACAAUGAAAAUUAGUUGUAUCUUAGUAAGUGGAAAGACUUAUGUGCCGGAAUGAUAUCUCCUCGAAUAAUAGCUCAAGUAGGAAGAGCUGAAUG
This 449-nucleotide long non-coding RNA is filed under the name Lotus japonicus. Its description in RNAcentral is "long non-coding RNA (LJAP_LNC000658)". Lineage: Eukaryota; Viridiplantae; Streptophyta; Magnoliopsida; Fabales; Fabaceae. The record is from RNAcentral.